GGGAUUGCCCUAGUAACGGCGAGUGAAGCGGCAACAGCUCAAAUUUGAAAUCUGGCGCAAGCCCGAGUUGUAAUUUGCAGAGGAUGCUUCUGGGCAGCGGCCGUUCUAAGUUCCUUGGAACAGGACGUCAUAGAGGGUGAGAAUCCCGUAUGUGACCGGCGCGCACCCUCCACGUAGCUCCUUCGACGAGUCGAGUUGUUUGGGAAUGCAGCUCUAAAUGGGAGGUAAAUUCCUUCUAAAGCUAAAUACCGGCCAGAGACCGAUAGCGCACAAGUAGAGUGAUCGAAAGAUGAAAAGCACUUUGGAAAGAGAGUUAAACAGCACGUGAAAUUGUUGAAAGGGAAGCGCUUGCCACCAGACUUCGCGGCGGUGUUCCGCCGGGCUUCUGCCCGGUCUACUCGCCGCCGCGAGGCCAACAUCGUCUGGGGCCGCCGGAUAAGACCGUGGGAAUGUAGCUCCCCUCGGGGAGUGUUAUAGCCCGCGGUGAUGCGGCGCGCCUCGGGCGAGGUCCGCGCUUCGGCAAGGAUGUUGGCGUAAUGGUGGUCAGCGGCCCGUCUUGAAACACGGACCAAGGAGUCUAACAUCUAUGCGAGUGUUCGGGUGUCAAACCCCUACGCGUAAUGAAAGUGAACGGAGGUGGGAGCUUCGGCGCACCAUCGACCGAUCCUGAUGUCCUCGGAUGGAUUUGAGUAAGAGCAUAGCUGUUGGGACCCGAAAGAUGGUGAACUAUGCCUGAAUAGGGUGAAGCCAGAGGAAACUCUGGUGGAGGCUCGCAGCGGUUCUGACGUGCAAAUCGAUCGUCAAAUUUGGGUAUAGGGGCG
RNAcentral lists this ribosomal RNA (821 nucleotides) under Polyphialoseptoria tabebuiae-serratifoliae. RNAcentral's name for it is "eukaryotic LSU rRNA". It matches the Rfam family "Eukaryotic large subunit ribosomal RNA", at positions 71 to 925 of the family's 3401-position model. RNAcentral also lists the same sequence under 1 other name. Lineage: Eukaryota; Fungi; Ascomycota; Dothideomycetes; Mycosphaerellales; Mycosphaerellaceae. The record is from RNAcentral.